This 213-nucleotide unclassified non-coding RNA is filed under the name Hevea brasiliensis (rubber tree). Lineage: Eukaryota; Viridiplantae; Streptophyta; Magnoliopsida; Malpighiales; Euphorbiaceae. The record is from RNAcentral.
GAGAGAGAGAAAGAGAGAAAGAAGAAAACGAUGAUGCAAACAAACAAACACAACAGGAUUUUGCAGCUUAAAGGAAAUCAAAAUCACUUAGAAAACAAGAAUCAUAUCAUCGAAGCACCUAAGGUAAUUCAAGACUAUAAUUUUCGCUAAUGGUCAAUUUACUCUUAGGGAAAAUGAGGGGAAAAUCGAAUUGAACAGUGAGAGAGAGAGAGA